RNAcentral lists this ribosomal RNA (501 nucleotides) under uncultured bacterium. Its description in RNAcentral is "partial 16S ribosomal RNA". It matches the Rfam family "Bacterial small subunit ribosomal RNA", at positions 29 to 523 of the family's 1533-position model. The record is from RNAcentral.
AGUGAACGCUGGCGGCAGGCUUAACACAUGCAAGUCGAGCGGGGGAAGGUAGCUUGCUACCGGACCUAGCGGCGGACGGGUGAGUAAUGCUUAGGAAUCUGCCUAUUAGUGGGGGACAACAUCUCGAAAGGGAUGCUAAUACCGCAUACGUCCUACGGGAGAAAGCAGGGGAUCUUCGGACCUUGCGCUAAUAGAUGAGCCUAAGUCGGAUUAGCUAGUUGGUGGGGUAAAGGCCUACCAAGGCGACGAUCUGUAGCGGGUCUGAGAGGAUGAUCCGCCACACUGGGACUGGGACACGGCCCAGACUCCUACGGGAGGCAGCAGUGGGGAAUAUUGGACAAUGGGGGGAACCCUGAUCCAGCCAUGCCGCGUGUGUGAAGAAGGCCUUAUGGUUGUAAAGCACUUUAAGCGAGGAGGAGGCUACUCUAGUUAAUACCUAGGGAUAGUGGACGUUACUCGCAGAAUAAGCACCGGCUAACUCUGUGCCAGCAGCCGCAGUAA